UGGCUAACUCCUACGGGAGGCAGCAGUGGGGAAUAUUGCACAAUGGGCGCAAGCCUGAUGCAGCCAUGCCGCGUGUAUGAAGAAGGCCUUCGGGCUGUAAAGUACUUUCAGCGGGGAGGAAGGGAGUAAAGUUAAUACCUUUGCUCAUUGACGUUACCCGCAGAAGAAGCACCGGCUAACUCCGUGCCAGCAGCCGCGGUAAUACGGAGGGUGCAAGCGUUAAUCGGAAUUACUGGGCGUAAAGCGCACGCAGGCGGUUUGUUAAGUCAGAUGUGAAAUCCCCGGGCUCAACCUGGGAACUGCAUCUGAUACUGGCAAGCUUGAGUCACGUAGAGGUGGGUAGAAUUCCAGGUGUAGCGGUAAAAUGCGUAGAGAUCUGGAGGAAUACCGGUGGCGAAGGCGGCCCCCUGGACGAAGACUGACGCUCAGGUGCGAAAGCGUGGGGAGCAGACAGGAUUAGAAACCCCAGCAGUCCAGCUGG
Molecule: ribosomal RNA, 481 nt
Filed under: uncultured bacterium
Lineage: Bacteria
Description: bacterial SSU rRNA
Rfam family: Bacterial small subunit ribosomal RNA
Source: RNAcentral